AUCGAUGAAGAACGCAGCGAAAUGCGAUAAGUAAUGUGAAUUGCAGAAUUCAGUGAAUCAUCGAAUCUUUGAACGCACAUUGCGCCCUCUGGUAUUCCGGGGGGCAUGCCUGUUCGAGCGUCAUUACAACCCUCAAGCUCUGCUUGGUAUUGGGCUUCACCCGUMAGGGYGGGCCUUAAAAUCAGUGGCGGUGCCAUUCGGCUUCAAGCGUAGUAAUUUUCUCGCUCUGGAGUACCGGUUGCGUGCCUGCCAGCAAACCCCAAAUUUUUUAAAGGUUGACCUCGGAUCAGGUAGGGAUACCCGCUGAACUUAAGCAUAUCAAUAAGCGGAGGAAAAGAAACCAACAGGGAUUACCUCAGUAACGGCGAGUGAAGCGGUAACAGCUCAAAUUUGAAAUCUGGCCUUCUGGUCCGAGUUGUAAUUUGUAGAGGAUGUUUCGAACGUGGUCCGGUCUAAGUUCCUUGGAACAGGACGUCAUAGAGGGUGAGAAUCCCGUAUGCGACUGGGUGCCUAAGUUCAUGUGAAACUCCUUCGACGAGUCGAGUUGUUUGGGAAUGCAGCUCAAAAUGGGUGGUAAAUUUCAUCUAAAGCUAAAUAUUGGCCAGAGACCGAUAGCGCACAAGUAGAGUGAUCGAAAGAUGAAAAGCACUUUGGAAAGAGAGUUAAACAGUACGUGAAAUUGUUGAAAGGGAAGCGCUUGCAACCAGACUUGCAUGCAGUUGAUCAUCCGAUGUUUUCACCGGUGCACUCGAUUGUAUUCAGGCCAGCAUCGGUUUUGGUGGUUGGAUAAAGGCCUUGGGAAUGUAGCUUCUUUCGGGGAGUGUUAUAGCCCUCGGUGCAAUGCAGCCUACCGGGACCGAGGACCGCGCUUCGGCUAGGAUGCUGGCGUAAUGGUUGUAAGCGACCCGUCUU
RNAcentral lists this ribosomal RNA (912 nucleotides) under uncultured Ascomycota. RNAcentral describes it as "eukaryotic LSU rRNA". The stretch from base 277 to 912 matches the Rfam family "Eukaryotic large subunit ribosomal RNA", at positions 1 to 655 of the family's 3401-position model. Lineage: Eukaryota; Fungi; Ascomycota. The record is from RNAcentral.